CCUCUCUCUCUCUCACUCUCACACGCCUCCUCCUCCCUCUCUACAUUCUCUCCAAAAACUCUGCUUCAAUCCUUGUUCUUGCAUCCAUUGGAGUUGUAAUUUCAAGAGUUUCUGAGGAAUCGCAUCAAUCCGUGUUUCUACCGUUUGAUUUUGAUUCAAGAAGGGGAUUGUGUGUACGUGAGCACAAGGAACGAGGGUUGCUUUGAGUUGGGUAUUGUGUUGUUUAAGCAAACGAGUAUGGGCGGUCGUGACAAUGAGCAUCAGUGAGUGGUCCGUGAGACUUGGCCUGUAUACUCCAAAGGAUGUUCCGGGAUUUAACGAAUAAGCUGCUUGGGAAGAGUUGGUUCCAAGGAGAACUGAAGCUUUUCGAC
Molecule: long non-coding RNA, 371 nt
Organism: Salvia splendens (bonfire salvia)
Lineage: Eukaryota; Viridiplantae; Streptophyta; Magnoliopsida; Lamiales; Lamiaceae
Exons: 3
Source: RefSeq, a predicted model, not a curated record